UACGUAGGGUGCAAGCGUUGUCCGGAAUUAUUGGGCGUAAAGAGCUCGUAGGCGGUUUGUCGCGUCUGCUGUGAAAACUGGAGGCUCAACCUCCAGCCUGCAGUGGGUACGGGCAGACUAGAGUGCGGUAGGGGAGAUUGGAAUCCUGGUGUAGCGGUGGAAUGCGCAGAUAUCAGGAGGAACACCGGUGGCGAAGGCGGGUCUCUGGGCAGUAACUGACGCUGAGGAGCGAAAGCGUGGGGAGCGAACAGG
Molecule: ribosomal RNA, 252 nt
Filed under: uncultured bacterium
Lineage: Bacteria
Description: partial 16S ribosomal RNA
Rfam family: Bacterial small subunit ribosomal RNA
Source: RNAcentral